This is a long non-coding RNA of Manis javanica (Malayan pangolin), 599 nucleotides long. RefSeq lists it as uncharacterized. NCBI's taxonomy places the organism in Eukaryota, Metazoa, Chordata, Mammalia, Pholidota, Manidae. The record is from RefSeq and is a predicted model, not a curated record.
GGUCCGCCUGUCUGUAAGGAAGGUGCUUUCUUAGCUCCUCUUUGCCAUGUGCUUAGUUGGGAAGGUUCUCUGUCUGGAGUGGAGGCUCUGAAGCAGUGACUGGGCAGGGUCCUACAGAUCAUCUCGGAGUUGGCCGCUCAAGUCACCUAGAGGAAAGGGCCUUGUGCCAGUGUCCAGUGUGGACAGCUCUCCUAACUGCUUAGCAUUCAGAGAAGCUUUCCUUGCUACAGUGCUAAGUGAUUGACAGGCAGUCCCCAAAUGGUAAUCACCACAAGAGAAGAAGAGAGAAAAUGCUCAAUGGGAUAUGAAUUGGGAGAUACCACCUACAGCAUGGAGACCAUGAACAUUUUCACAGAGGAGGCGCCCCUUGAAUUUGGUCCUAAAUAUUCACCAGAGUUGGAAUCUGUAGAGAACAAGAUGAGGUGGAACACCUCAGACACAGAAAAUGCAGGACAUGUUUGAGAGAAGGCCAGAGAUUCUGCCAUAUAAAGUACAAGAAGAAAACAUAUCCUGUAAAUGUAAUUAUGAGCAUGGGCUCCGGAGUUAGAUGUCCUGGGUUUGAAUUCCAGCUUAACUGUUAACCAACUCUGUGACCUUGG